RNAcentral lists this ribosomal RNA (301 nucleotides) under uncultured bacterium. Its description in RNAcentral is "partial 16S ribosomal RNA". It matches the Rfam family "Bacterial small subunit ribosomal RNA", at positions 509 to 809 of the family's 1533-position model. The record is from RNAcentral.
CAGUAGCCGCGGUAAUACGAAGGGGGCUAGCGUUGCUCGGAAUGACUGGGCGUAAAGGGCGCGUAGGCGGCGAUCAAAGUCAGGCGUGAAAUUCCUGGGCUCAACCUGGGGGCUGCGCUUGAUACUUGGUUGCUUGAGUGGGGAAGAGGGUCGUGGAAUUCCCAGUGUAGAGGUGAAAUUCGUAGAUAUUGGGAAGAACACCGGUGGCGAAGGCGGCGACCUGGUCCUUGACUGACGCUGAGGCGCGAAAGCGUGGGGAGCAAACAGGAUUAGAUACCCCCGUAGUCCCUGUCUCUUAUAA